Olea europaea var. sylvestris is the source of this 150-nucleotide long non-coding RNA. RefSeq lists it as uncharacterized. The transcript is spliced from 2 exons. The record is from RefSeq and is a predicted model, not a curated record. Lineage: Eukaryota; Viridiplantae; Streptophyta; Magnoliopsida; Lamiales; Oleaceae.
AAUAGAAUUUCAUACAUCGAGUAUUUUAAUCACAUACUUUCAAAGCGGAGGAACGAUUUUCAACAUACUGUAGAUUCAACGAGAUUAGUUCGAGUCGAUUGGAACAGUGGAGAAUUGGUGAUGCGGACUGCCAAGUGGAUAAAGAAUAGA